UGGGGAAUUUUGGACAAUGGGCGAAAGCCUGAUCCAGCCAUGCCGCGUGAGUGAAGAAGGCCUUCGGGUUGUAAAGCUCUUUUAGUCGGAAAGAAAGAGUUGCAAUGAAUAAUUGUGAUUUAUGACGGUACCGACAGAAAAAGCACCGGCUAACUACGUGCCAGCAGCCGCGGUAAUACGUAGGGUGCGAGCGUUAAUCGGAAUUACUGGGCGUAAAGGGUGCGCAGGCGGUCUUGCAAGUCAGAUGUUAAAGCCCCGGGCUUAACCUGGGAAUUUCGUUUGAAACUACAAGGCUAGAGUGCAGCAGAGGGGAGUGGAAUUCCAUGUGUAGCAGUGAAAUGCGUAGAGAUGUGGAAGAACACCGAUGGCGAAGGCAGCUCCCUGGGUUGACACUGACGCUCAUGCACGAAAGCGUGGGGAGCAAACA
RNAcentral lists this ribosomal RNA (427 nucleotides) under uncultured beta proteobacterium. RNAcentral's name for it is "bacterial SSU rRNA". It matches the Rfam family "Bacterial small subunit ribosomal RNA", at positions 355 to 774 of the family's 1533-position model. The record is from RNAcentral. Lineage: Bacteria; Pseudomonadati; Pseudomonadota; Betaproteobacteria.